This 424-nucleotide ribosomal RNA is filed under the name uncultured prokaryote. RNAcentral's name for it is "bacterial SSU rRNA". It matches the Rfam family "Bacterial small subunit ribosomal RNA", at positions 355 to 796 of the family's 1533-position model. The record is from RNAcentral.
UGGGGAAUAUUGGACAAUGGGCGAAAGCCUGAUCCAGCAAUGCCGCGUGAGUGAUGAAGGCCUUAGGGUUGUAAAGCUCUUUUACCAGGGUUGAUAAUGACAGUACCUGGAGAAUAAGCUCCGGCUAACUCCGUGCCAGCAGCCGCGGUAAUACGGAGGGAGCUAGCGUUGUUCGGAAUUAUUGGGCGUAAAGAGCGUGUAGGCGGCCUGGUAAGUCUGUCGUGAAAUGCUGGGGCUCAACCCUGGACGUGCGAUGGAUACUGCUAGGCUAGAGGAUGGUAGAGGCGAGUGGAAUUCCCGGUGUAGCGGUGAAAUGCGCAGAUAUCGGGAGGAACACCAGUAGCGAAGGCGGCUCGCUGGGCCAUUCCUGACGCUGAGACGCGAAAGCGUGGGGAGCAAACAGGAUUAGAUACCCGUGUAGUCC